This 225-nucleotide ribosomal RNA is filed under the name uncultured Acholeplasma sp. RNAcentral describes it as "partial 16S ribosomal RNA". It matches the Rfam family "Bacterial small subunit ribosomal RNA", at positions 1158 to 1381 of the family's 1533-position model. The record is from RNAcentral. Lineage: Bacteria; Bacillati; Mycoplasmatota; Mollicutes; Acholeplasmatales; Acholeplasmataceae.
AUAAACUGGAGGAAGGUGGGGAAUGACGUCAAAUCAUCAUGCCCCUUAUGACCUGGGCUACAAACGUGAUACAAUGGCUGAAACAAAGGGCAGCGAAGCAGUGAUGUGAAGCGAAACCCAAAAAAGCAGUCUCAGUUCGGAUUGAAGUCUGCAACUCGACUUCAUGAAGUCGGAAUCGCUAGUAAUCGCGAAUCAGAACGUCGCGGUGAAUACGUUCUCGGGUUU